RNAcentral lists this long non-coding RNA (1077 nucleotides) under Erythranthe guttata (spotted monkey flower). RNAcentral describes it as "long non-coding RNA (EGUT_LNC002768)". Lineage: Eukaryota; Viridiplantae; Streptophyta; Magnoliopsida; Lamiales; Phrymaceae. The record is from RNAcentral.
UGUCCUCUCUGCAAAAGCUUAGUGCAUAGAAGGUGUUCAAACACCAAAACCUGUUGAAAAAAAACAGGUUCAAUUUAAAUAUUUAUAUUAUAAAUCAACUCAUAACCAAUAAAUAUAAAUCGAAAUACGCAAUCACGUGCAUAUGUUACUACAUGUUAUCGUCGACCGACAAAUAUCGAUUAACAUACAGUUGCAUCCACACACAGAAGAAUUUCUUCUUAAAAAUAGGUAUGUAUAGUCAUUUUGCAGUAUCAACAUUUUAGGUUCGUGGAUCUAACACAUAUGUUUAAAAUCGUAUCAGAAAUUUUCAAUGGCUACCUAUGAAUCGUGUGAAAGAUGCAGUUUAGCUUCAGUAUAACAAAGAAUAGAGCAAUUCAACCUAAAAACAUAAAAAACAUAGAAUAGAAUCUAAUUAUUUAACUUAAGUGGAACCUAAUAUUUAAAGAUCUAGAAUCUCAUUAAAAAAAUAAAAAAUAAAUGAUAACUUUGAUACAGAGAAUGCCUUUUAACCUAAAAACCUAUUAUUCGGCACAAGGCUUACAAUUAGCACAAGCAAAACAAAUAUGCAAAAAGGAAAUUGAAGAUCUUAUCACCUGAUUUAUGGAAUAUUCAAAUCAAUUAAGUUAACAAAUCGAAUCAGCAAAUAGAAAAGAAGAACAAACCCAAUUAAUUAGGAACCCUUCAAAGAAGAAGCCUUUUUCUUAUGCUAUUGGAGCAUCUUAAACUGAUGCAAAAAUUAAGUUUACCGGUGACGGUGGCGGCGGUGAGCGGUGGGCGGUGGUGGACGGCGGUGUGGCGGUGGGCGGCUGUUAGCAACGGAGUCGCAGUGAGAAGUGGGAGGAACAGGGGGAGAAGCGGUGGGGGAAUCGGACGGCGGAGAUGAUGCGGGCGGCGUAAUGGUGGCUGAUGGUGUUGGACUUGGUGCUCCCGCCACCGGCGUGGGCGGCGCCGCCACUGGUGCUGCUGUUGGAGCAGGCUUUGGGCGUGGCUGAUGGAGCUUGAGACAAAUCAGAUCCAACUACCAAUGGCCGCCAUUGUUGAAAUUUUUCAAGUUUUUUUUCUUUCUGGAAUUUGUAC